This is a long non-coding RNA of Poecilia reticulata (guppy), 6680 nucleotides long. RefSeq lists it as uncharacterized. The record is from RefSeq and is a predicted model, not a curated record. Lineage: Eukaryota; Metazoa; Chordata; Actinopteri; Cyprinodontiformes; Poeciliidae.
GUAGCCAUUUUAGCGGUCAUCGCUACACAGCCGUUAGAAAAAGACCCAUCCGUUCCAACCGUCUCCUAGCAACGGCGGAGUGAUACUGACCCCCUCCGCAACCGCCGUCAAACUGCAACUGCAACAAAACUAACAACAUGUUUGAGGUGGGAUGAUGGUACAACACAGACGGCUGCAGAGCAAGUGCACUUUGGAGCUAGAGUACGAAGUUUGAAGGAAAACGUGUUAAAAACCACAAACGGUCGUCAGAGCGCUUCAGCCGAGCUGUAAUCUGGAAGUCGUUAACAGAAACUGUAACAGAGCAGAAAGUAGAGAAAACGUCAAGCAGCGCAAGUGAGAUGGACCUGUUCUGUCAAUGAGAGGCUUCGGAUGAACAUCGGCGAUCAAACGGCAUCAUGAAGACCAAGGAGCUCAGCAGAUGAAGCUACGGAGAAGUUUAAAGUGCGCUUGGAGGAUGACCUCACAGCGCUCGGGCCGGCUUCCAGGCAGCCAGCAGAACCUGCUCCCUUCUCCCAGAUCCCUCUUUCUUCUCCUCGCUAUCUGCCUAUCGUUGUCCCUGCGCCUGCAACUGUAUCCCGACUCCAUUGUAUCUUUUUCACAUGCCGACAUCUACUAUUCAGGGUUUCCAUCUGUUUUGGUGACCCCCCCCCCACCUCCUGCUUCCCUCCUUCGUUUGCCGCCUUUAUUAAACGACCCCCCGUCCCUCUCUCAUUCUAUCUCUUUGUCUCUCUAUCUCUGUCUUUUCUCCCUCCCUUGCGCUUUGUUGUCUAAACAAAGUGGCCUUUAUCAGGAUGAGCUGCAACCCAAACAAGCCAAACAAAAGAUAUGGGCGAGAAAAUCUGCCCGCAGAAGAGGGGAGGAUCUUAUCGUGCCAGCCUUUGUGUGCCAGCCUGCCAACUGGCGAUGCCCCCCCGCCGCCGCCAACCCCUCCCCAAAUCUCUCACACACACACAUUAAUAUGCCAAAUUCUGGCACCGCCGCAAUGAGCUGGCACCUGACCUGGCCGAAAGGAAAGCAGGGGUGACGGAGAAGACGAACCGUUCGACGGAGGAGGGAAGGGGGCGCCAUCUUUGAGAUGGUGCUCUCCUGACGAGCGAUAAAUCAAGAACCGAGGAGCAGGAUCCGCUGCAGAUACGCCGUUUCCACUUUACGUUAGAGAGUCACCGCUCAGGCUUGCGCUGGACCCGAUGCCGAGUUCCAGUUUUCCAUCACCACAGAGCGGGACGGACACCAUCGCUCCUAAUCAGAUCAGAAGACACGCGGCUACACAUGUCGCUACUGGUGGAAUAAAUAAGGAAUAAACCGAACGGACCACAAAAGAGAAAACAGGUUCUUUGGUGUAGAGGCAGAUUGUCUCAAUUUCUACAUCAGUGAUGUGUGAGGGACUGUUGCAGAGUCAAAGAUCCAGUUCAUCCUUGGAAAGGCACCUUUUCUACCCGGCGGUGUUUUCUAAACCUCUGAGUUUUGACAGCAUUGAAUCAUUUCUGGGUUUACAAAAGUCCAACCAGCUACUAGGUUUAGGGAGCAAUUGCUCUUUUAUCCUGGGUCAUGCACAUUUACAUUUUUUGCUCCCUUAAUAAUGAAACACUUCAUCUAAAAACUGCAGUUUGUGCUAUAACUUGUGUCGCCUUCGACUAUCGUUUAAAUUGGCUUGACGUUCUGAAACACUGACGUGUGACAAACAUGCAUAAAAAUAUGAAAUCGGGAAACACUUUUUUUUUUUUUUACAUGUGACUGGAUUUGUCUGAGCUGAAUUUGGAUGGAACUCGAUCCAUUUGUCUUGAUAUUUGUUGUAAUGCGAUGCUACAUUAGUAAGACUGAAUUUGUCGUACCAACUAAACUUAAAUGAAGUCAUCUGCAGAUCUGUUUAUAAACCCCGACUCAUCAAUCAGCAUCUCCGGCUGGAGUUUAUAAUUCCACAACGUCCCGUUCUCAGGCGCUGUUGGAAAUCCUGAUUAGAGACACUGAAACAAUGACUGAAUGGUUUGUAAACUACGAUAAUGUGUUAUUAUUUUUGAACGACUUUUGACACAAGUGACCUUUGACACGAAAGAGGAAGAGGACAGAAGAGGAAGACGUGCAGCAGAUGGCCCGAUUCCAGGAAUCGAACCCGGGACAACUGCGUUGACGGCACAACUGACUGAGCCACCCAGCAUCCAAAUAUACUGAUAUUUAAAAAGAUCAUUUCCCCAUCUUAUGUGGGAAUAUAACUGGUAUUCAGCAUCUACAUUCACAUUUUUUCUAGCCGAACUUGAAAAGUCAUUUGUAGCUCUGAAUGGCUCCUGCUUGAAGCGGUGUGUUUAAAUCCUGUCCGCAGUGUCGGCGGGAGCUUUAACAAACACAAUUUGCAUUUAUAAACUGAACUGAUGAUAAAAAAUUGUCAUAUCCUGUGAUUAGACAUCACUGUUGAUGCAGAAGGUGUUUAUGAAUCCUGACUGCUGUUUAAAACAGAGUUUAUAAGCUCUACUGAUGAGCCAGUGACAGAUAACUUGAUUUGUCGGCUGCGAUCCUCUGCAGAAAUUCAAAAGACAACAGAGGGAGGUUUAAACAUUUACCAGAGGAGACUUGAGAACUCUGAACCUGCGGACAAACUGGUUCUUCGCUUUUGAUUUUAAUAGUACAAUUAGAGACGCGCUUUGUGCCAAAGACAGAAACAUCUUGACGGUGAAACUCUCUGCACAGGCAGAAAUAAAUAGCAGAGAUCCUAGUCAUCUCCAACUGCACUUUACACUCUGUGACACCGUAAUGAUUAUCUCAUAAUUGGAACAAGGGAGGCCUUUCUUAUUGGCCUUAAAGCAGCAGCUGAAAGCCUCCCUAUCAAAUAACCGCUGGCAGGUACAGAAAACCACAAACACUCAGAUGAAAGUGACAGAAAAAGGAGGGAAAAAAGGUGAGAAGGGGCAAAGUUGAAAUGUCUGGGCAAAGACGAAACGUCUGCGCAAACAAUUAAAUGUUGCGCUCUUUUUCUGUAAGGCGCACUCAAGACUCGGUACGUCUGUCACGGUUUGAAGACGAGGGGAAUCAAGUGGGAUCCGGGCCCAGAAGGGAACAAUGAGGACCCUGGCAGAGCGCUGUCUGUGAGCGCGGUCGAUUGUGCGUGACCCAGCUCGCUUGUAUCUCUCGGCGUCCAUGUUGGUCUCGCCGACAAGAGCACGCUCAGGCCUUCUGCUGCCACAAUGUGUCUGUGUGUGUGUGUGUGUGUGUGUGUGUUUGUUUCUAAUCGCCGCAUACUAAUGCGGGCGAAGAGCGGGCCCUCUUUCUUCUUUCCCCCGCCGAGUCUCCGUGCCUUCUCCUCCGUAAACUCUCACGGCAGUGAAAAGAGGCGAGCGUUUUAACUGAGCCAGGAGGACAACAGGCUCCUCAUUGAGGUCACCAAGCAGCACGGAUGGGGAGGGAGCUCAUUCUGCGGCGAGUGGGCCCCGAAUGGCACGCUGAAUGGCCCGGCAGAUCAUUAGCCACACCGGCCCCGGGGACGAGGACUGGGGGGUGGGGGGGAAACCUGGCCAGGACAAAGCCGGGAAACCAAGGAUGCAGAUGAGGGUUAAUCCACCCAAAUUCAACUUCCCCACCUUUUUUUUAAAAUUCAGGAUGUGAAGUUUACCCACCUCUGAGCAGAUGCGUGCAUCUGCAAAGGCAGCCUCCAUUCAUGCAGUCAUGCUACAUUUGCGCAUUAAACGUACACGCGGUGACAUACAGAACACGUGUGCGCACACCGAGGCACGCACCGGGCGCCCCGCGGAGAGCCGCCACGCACGGCGCGGGGCGGUCGGCGAGCGGGCUGCAGACAAACCGCAGCGACACGACGUGACACAGUGGCUCAUCUGUCCGAUGAAAAAUGAGCAGGCUGGUCUCCAGUCAGCACACUGCGCCCCCCGCUUAAUGUUUCCACCUCCUCCCGCUCCCCCCAUGUUUGCCCUUUUCUCACAAUGUGGUCUUUCCUUUCGCUUAUUUAUUACACUCUUUUCUUUUUUCCCCUUUCUGUUCUUGUCACUUUGCUCUCAGCUUGUUGCCCCAACUGGGCGAUCUUUCACAAGAACCUGACGACCGUAUUAAAGGGGGGGCAGUGGGGGGCUCCUUUUAUUAAUAUUAUGCCUUCAGUUCUAAAGCGUUAUUGUUCAAGCUACUUUAAAUUAUUGUUUUCCUCACUAUGGUUGAAACCUGUCGGUUUGUGACUCCAAAUAAGACUUUUUAAAACCUAACAUUGGACUUUUUUUUAAACAUUUUUACAACCAAUGUUUCUCUUUAGCAGGACACUUACGCCCACACAGCAGAGUUAAACUUGUAUUUUAUGCACAUUUUUAAAACAUAUCUAGUAGUUCUAUCAAUAAAAUGCAAGUUUAUAAAGUUUUAUGAUUGCAACUUUUAAAUUUAACAUUUUUUGGAAUAUAUCUGAAUGGGUGAGUCAGGUUUUAAAUGUAUUUAAUCAGAAACAACGUAAAAAAUCUUACAUUUAGAUAAAAGCAACCAUUGUGCCAAGCAUAUAGACCCUCUAGCAGAAAACUAAUUUGCAGACUCAGCCCUCAUUUAGGUUAUUUUGAGGCAGCAAUACUUUUCAGACGCUUCUAGUGACUUUUUUCAAAAAAAAGCAAGUAGUCACAAAUCUAGCAACUUUUUAUUUAUUUUUUUAUUACUGGAAACGUUGACGAUGAAAGCAACAACAAAACUGCAGUAUCUGUCCUGACUGAGCGAGAAGCGAGUGUUGCUGUAAGCCUCCAUCGCUUCCUCAGCGCUGCAGUCAGUCUCACACAGACGUCCUGCAGCAAACACUGCAGAUAAAUCACACACGUGAAACGUUUAGAGAUUCUAUCGAUCAAGGUGUGUCAAAGUGAGAUGAUUUUAUACCCAAACGCUGGGCCGAGUGACGAAAACGUCAACCGAGCCGUGUCGUUUUAACCAAUAGGAAAAUUCAUCUGCAACGGUCACCGUUCGACCCACAGGUGGCAGCACUGAGACGGUUUAAGACCAAACAAUGCAGAGUUAAAUCUUUAUGAAAGUUUCAACUCUCCGCCUGGAUAUUUUUGCUUACUUUAAUUGCACGCAGUCCUUUAAAUGUCCUGUGAGUAAAUAUAUAUUUGCCCAUUUAUCAAUAACAACUGGAACUUUCGACAUCUACCAACUUAUUUUCGCAAUUUACCGUGUACUAAAAGAGCGCCCCUCAGAUUGAUUUCGCUUCCUGCUAUGGCGCGGGUGAAAUUACCGUAAUAACUCGAUAUUGCCUGGAAAGCUGGACGAGAAAAAAUCUGAUCUUUCGAAUUUAAUGGACAGCCUUAACAUUUACACAUGAUUUUGUCAAACAAAAGAAGUUAGGAUUCAUAUUUUUUUACAUUUUGACGCUUAAAAUUCAACUUGAAAAUUCAACACAAUAACUAUAACUUGACUGCAAACAAAACAAAAACCACUGACAGUUUUGGUGCGAUUUGAGGGGAAACUUUUUAUAGAAACAGAAAAGCAGUGGUCCGUAAAUGGAACCUUGUGGUACACCUAAUUUGCAGUUUUGAAAGGUUGAUCUGACACCGUCAACUUUAAAUCAUCGUACUCAGGACUAAACAGAUGCUGUGAGAAAUUUAACUUCUAAUUUAAUUUUAUAGAAUCUAUCUAAAUCCUCCAGUAAUUCCCUGGUUUUGAACGUAAUAACUGUGCGCGCGUUAAUCCAUCUUUACGUUUUCCAGGAGUAAGUGACUGAAGUGUGGUCCCACCAUUCACACGUUCAGUCGGCGUCUUGUCUGGCCCGUGAGAAAAAAAGAGGAACUUUGCAUCUGUGUUGAAACAAAAGCCCCAUCAACAGCCAGACUUGCAUCUAUUUUUUUCUUCUCUCUCUCUCUCUCUCUUUUUCAGUGUGCACCAAACAAACAAUUAGCUUUGUUGCAGUGUAAUUGACUGGCAGGACCGGCUGGCAUUUACAUUCGCCCGCUGUUGCCACCCUGCCAUUCGGCGGGCCUGGAUGAAAGGGAAUAAGGUCCGUACAAGGGUGCGAGGUUGGCCACGUCUCUCUUACUUCCAAGCUUUUUUUUUCUCCCCUGGUGGCAAACUUCCAAGCAGGAGCAUUUCUUUUUUUUUUUUUUUUAAAGGAAGGAGGGAAGGGCGGGUGGAGUGAGGACGAGACUAUGGAUUUAAUUAUGCAUGCGUGUUUUCCCAUUCAUUGUAGCGGUGGGAAGGAGCGACGGCAGGGGUGUAACGCGGGGUGGUUGAAGGGGUGCAGGGGGGGCAGACCAAUGACAUUCCGUCGUUGUAGACCUCCUCCUACACACAAACACACACAUACAGGCAGCAGUCUGGGAGCGAGCCGCUAUAGGCUAAUGAGGUGACACUCACCGUCUGGAGACCAGCCAAAACAGUCCAUUAACUCCUAGCCAGUAGUUAAGAGGAGAAGAAGGAGAAAGGUGGAGGAGGGGAGGGGACAAGAGGAGGCAGAUGAGGGAGUGGGCAAAUGGGUGAGGUAGGUGGCUAGAUGAAGGUGGGAGGAGUUUAUGGGGGGGUCUGGAGUCUCAGGAUGUGAGAGUGGGGGGUAUUCCUGCAGUUUUGUAGUUGUGAAUGAAGCAGUGGGGUGGCUGAAAGAAGGGAGGGGGCUUUGCACGAGCGUUCACUGCUGGCGAUUAUGCUCUGAGGAGAUUUGUGUGUGGGUAGCAACGAAUGAGGGAGGAUGGCGGAGAGAGAUCCAAACCCACCCCCUUGUCCCGUCC